Molecule: non-coding RNA, 72 nt
Organism: Xylariales sp. No.14919
Lineage: Eukaryota; Fungi; Ascomycota; Sordariomycetes; Xylariales
Source: the annotation of a GenBank genome assembly
GGGCGAAUGGUCUAGGGGUAUGAUACUCCCUUCGCAUGGGAGGGGUCCGGGGUUCAAUUCCCCGUUCGUCCA